CCUACGGGUGGCUGCAGUGGGGAAUAUUGCACAAUGGGCGCAAGCCUGAUGCAGCCAUGCCGCGUGUGUGAAGAAGGCCUUCGGGUUGUAAAGCACUUUCAGCGGGGAGGAAGGCGUUAAGGUUAAUAACCUUGUCGAUUGACGUUACCCGCAGAAGAAGCACCGGCUAACUCCGUGCCAGCAGCCGCGGUAAUACGGAGGGUGCAAGCGUUAAUCGGAAUUACUGGGCGUAAAGCGCACGCAGGCGGUCUGUCAAGUCGGAUGUGAAAUCCCCGGGCUCAACCUGGGAACUGCAUUCGAAACUGGCAGGCUAGAGUCUUGUAGAGGGGGGUAGAAUUCCAGGUGUAGCGGUGAAAUGCGUAGAGAUCUGGAGGAAUACCGGUGGCGAAGGCGGCCCCCUGGACAAAGACUGACGCUCAGGUGCGAAAGCGUGGGGAGCAAACAGGAUUAGAUACCCAGUAGUC
This 464-nucleotide ribosomal RNA is filed under the name uncultured Klebsiella sp. RNAcentral's name for it is "bacterial SSU rRNA". It matches the Rfam family "Bacterial small subunit ribosomal RNA", at positions 338 to 795 of the family's 1533-position model. Lineage: Bacteria; Pseudomonadati; Pseudomonadota; Gammaproteobacteria; Enterobacterales; Enterobacteriaceae. The record is from RNAcentral.